RNAcentral lists this transfer RNA (84 nucleotides) under Deltaproteobacteria bacterium. Its description in RNAcentral is "tRNA-Leu". It matches the Rfam family "tRNA". Rfam says of the family: Transfer RNA (tRNA) molecules are approximately 80 nucleotides in length. The record is from RNAcentral. Lineage: Bacteria; Pseudomonadati; Myxococcota; Myxococcia.
GCCCAGGUGGCGAAAUGGCAGACGCACCAGUUUGAGGGGCUGGCGCCGCGAGGCAUGCGAGUUCGAGUCUCGCCCUGGGCACCA